GUUCCCGUAGCUCAGCGGACAGAGCGCCUCGUUUCUACCGAGACGGUCGCUGGUUCGAUUCCAGCCGGGGACU
RNAcentral lists this transfer RNA (73 nucleotides) under Rhodocyclaceae bacterium. RNAcentral's name for it is "tRNA-Arg". It matches the Rfam family "tRNA". Rfam says of the family: Transfer RNA (tRNA) molecules are approximately 80 nucleotides in length. Their secondary structure includes four short double-helical elements and three loops (D, anti-codon, and T loops). Lineage: Bacteria; Pseudomonadati; Pseudomonadota; Betaproteobacteria; Rhodocyclales; Rhodocyclaceae. The record is from RNAcentral.